CUGAAACGCCUCUUAGAAACAUUUUCUCUCCCCUCCGCCCGUCGCCUACUCUCCAGCGACAUCCUCCUCGCCGAAACCCGACCUGGCGCUGCCGCGGAGGUACCAGCCGGAAAACCUAGAACAAACAAAGUGAUUCGCUCACCUCCCUCUGCACGACCGCCUCCAUCUGCACGACCGCCUCUUUCACGACCGAUGCAGCAGGCUCGAUCGACCAAGCCGCUGGACUCGCCAGUUUCUUGGCGGAGGAGGAGGAUGGCUAAGGAGGGGAGGACGGCCGGCGGUUCCUGGGGAUUGAGCGGCGUCUUGGGCGGCGCGGGGCUCAUCCGGUUCGGGCGGGCUGUCUGGAUUGUACGCGCUGGAUACUAGGUUUGAGCAGGUUCUUCAUAGGAAAUUCCACGAAGAGGUACCUCCGGACGGGGCAUCUUAAUAGUACAAAGAAAGUACUACAACGAGCACCGUGGCUUUCCAUUAAAAGGGAGCAAUGAUGAUUUUGUUGGUUGUGAUGUGUAUUUUUAGUGUAGUAUAAGAAAGUUGGUAAAAUUUAUGUGUUCCCUGUGGAUAUUUCAUCUUAACUUUUCCAACCCAAGUGAACCAAUCUUUGGCAGCUACUGGGAUAUAUAGACAGGUAAAUCAAGCAUCACAGCCAGGAACCGUACAUAGGGAACCAGGACACAGAAUAAAAUUCCUUAUUUUUAGACAAUAUAAGCUACAAGAAAUGGCAAUUUGCCUUCCAGCCAGUAGAUAGUUGCUUAAACAUUUAAUGUCGCAAUAUACUUUUAUACAGCCUUUUAUACUUUACAAAUUGUAUUAAUCAUCUCUUUCGCUUGAUGGCCCGUAGAUAGUGCUGCCAUCUGCACCUGUUCUUGUUAUCGUGCGGUUUCAUUGUGAGUGAGGAUUGAUGGGUGCUUCUUUAUCUGCGAUAUUGUUUUUUUUUCCUUUUCGAAACGGAUAUAUGUGAGAUUAAUUGACUAAAUUUGCGUGGUGGCGCAAAUGGAAUGUUCAAAUGCAGAGGAGGUUUUUGAUGAUGGCUAUGGUCAAGAUGGGCUGCUUCGAAGGAAGAGGGAAGUGAUCAUGACGCGCAAUAAACCGCAGAAAAUCGGACUGAGAUCCAGGACAAAAAAGUUCAAGGGAAGGAAGAGAAAGGUAACUGUGACAUGCACUAAACCGCAGACUACUGGAACUGAGAUCCAAGAUGAAAAAUGUCAAGAAGAGGAGAUUCCUAGGGAUACCUAUGUUGAGCUUGAAGGUGGGCUGCAUGGAAGUUAGAGGAAAGCAUCCAUGACACCCAGCAAACCACAGACAACUGGAAACUGAGACCCAGAACAAAAAAGUUCAUGGUCAGUGUCUCAAAGCUGAGAAUGAGAUGCUGAGGCGGCAGCUCACUUGCAAGAAAAAAGAGCUCUAUGCUGAAAAGAUUCUGAGACUCAAACUAGAGUUGGAUUUGAAUACGAAUGAGAUCAAGUCCUUGAGAAAGUAGAUUGAAAAGUCGAGGGAUGAGAAUGAGUGCUACAGGAAGGCUAUCGACCUUCGUGUUACCAGCCAAAGCGACCAAGAAAUCGAAGGCUGUGCAGAUGCUAUGAGUAGUAUGUAUUCCAUGACUAUCGCAAUUGCUAGAUCUUUUGGUUUAUCAGAGCGGAAGUUUGAUUGGAGGGGCUUCCAUCCUGAUUGUUGUGCACAAGAUCGUUCAGGUUUUCAUCGUUACCAGCAGUCCAGCACUUCAGGAUGUGGAUACUGCUGUCUCGGUUACCAAAUUGGAACAGAUACAAUAUCUGUGACAAGUGGUGUGGUCUCCAGGAUAGAAAUGCAGUCAUAUGUUCAUGGUUCUACCGAACUUUUAGGAUUGCAGGUCCUCCAGAGUCCACAACCUUUUAAAAGGAAGUUUCUGCAACCUAAUGGAUUCCAAGCAUGUCCAUGGCAUGAAAAUGUGCAGGCGAAUCCCUAGAUCAGGUUCUGGACAGGUCCAGUUGACUGAUUUUCCUUAUGGAACCAUGGUAGGACAGAAUUUUGUGUUGGGCCCAAACAAGCGAAAUUUCAGGUAAUACUGGAUAUUACUACAAUUAUGAUAAUUUGAACAUUUGGGACUAAAAUUACGAGUUUGAAGGCUACUGAAACACAACAUAUUUCAUUGCCAUUUAGUUUUUCUGAAACAACAAUCUGAAGAAUCACUAGGUAGAGGGAAGUGGUUGUGGGAGGGGUGGUGCGGGGGGAGACCGUAUUUGCAACAUGCUGUGAGGAUCUAUCCUGCCAGGGUUUGAAGUGGUCUGCCGCGCCAUGAAAAAUUAUCAACACUAGCAGGUGUGACCGUGCAUUGCUACGGAACCCGGUGGCUGGAAUCAGCUGCAAGGGGGUGCGCAGGUGAUUGGCGAAGUCUGGGAAGGUCAGGACGCUUAGGGCGCUGGGAGAUGCGGUCAUGCGGCUGCACCGGGUUGCGAGGUCUAGUGAGGAGUUGACGCGGCGGGCAGAAUGGAGCAAGCAGCUCAUGGCGCCGUCAAGGUCGGCCGUCUCCCACGAGUCCGGCGGCUGGCGGCGGUGAAGGUGGUGGGAGAACAGGUGAAGCGGGCGGCGACGUGACGGCUUUGCUCGGAGUGCUGUGGCGUCGGUUGGCAUCGGUUGUAAGACGGAGAAGGAGAAAUUGGGCUGGGGGUGGAGGGGGAGGCUCGGGCAUGGGCUCACGCGGGCGCGGUGGCGUCGGUCGUAAGGUUGUGGAGGAGGAGGAAUCGUGAAUAAGACGGAAAGGAGAGAAAAUAACGAGAAGUGGCAUAUUUAUUGUAAUUUUAACAAAGUUGACCUACCGUGUCCAUGCCAAUCACCAUCAACUCCAAUUUAACAGAUAGUAAUAGAUGCCAAUGCGCUUGUACCU
Long non-coding RNA from Brachypodium distachyon (stiff brome), 2860 nucleotides. RefSeq lists it as uncharacterized. The transcript is spliced from 11 exons. The record is from RefSeq and is a predicted model, not a curated record. NCBI's taxonomy places the organism in Eukaryota, Viridiplantae, Streptophyta, Magnoliopsida, Poales, Poaceae.